CCUACGGGGGGCAGCAGUGAGGAAUAUUGGUCAAUGGGCGGGAGUCUGAACCAGCCAAGCCGCGUGAAGGAUGAAUGCGCUAUGCGUUGUAAACUUCUUUUGUCGGGGAAUAAAGGGCGCCACGCGUGGCGUUGUGAGUGUACCCGAAGAAUAAGCAUCGGCUAACUCCGUGCCAGCAGCCGCGGUAAUACGGAGGAUGCGAGCGUUAUCCGGAUUUAUUGGGUUUAAAGGGUGCGUAGGCGGUCGGGAAAGUCAGCGGUAAAAGCCCGGGGCUCAACCCGGGCGAGCCUUUGAUACUGUCGGACUAGAGAAGGCGAGAGGUACGCGGAAUGCGCGGUGUAGCGGUGAAAUGCAGAGAUAUCGCGCAGAACUCCGAUUGCGAAGGCAGCGUACCGGCGCCGGACUGACGCUGAGGCACGAAAGCGUGGGUAUCGAACAGGAUUAGAUACCCUGGUAGUC
Molecule: ribosomal RNA, 459 nt
Filed under: uncultured bacterium
Lineage: Bacteria
Description: partial 16S ribosomal RNA
Rfam family: Bacterial small subunit ribosomal RNA
Source: RNAcentral